UACAAGCGAGCGGCGGACGGGUGAGUAACACGUGGGUAACCUGCCCAAGAGACUGGGAUAACACCUGGAAACAGAUGCUAAUACCGGAUAACAACACUAGACGCAUGUCUAGAGUUUGAAAGAUGGUUCUGCUAUCACUCUUGGAUGGACCUGCGGUGCAUUAGCUAGUUGGUAAGGUAAUGGCUUACCAAGGCGAUGAUGCAUAGCCGAGUUGAGAGACUGAUCGGCCACAUUGGGACUGAGACACGGCCCAAACUCCUACGGGAGGCAGCAGUAGGGAAUCUUCCACAAUGGACGAAAGUCUGAUGGAGCAACGCCGCGUGAGUGAAGAAGGGUUUCGGCUCGUAAAGCUCUGUUGGUAGUGAAGAAAGAUAGAGGUAGUAACUGGCCUUUAUUUGACGGUAAUUACUUAGAAAGUCACGGCUAACUACGUGCCAGCAGCCGCGGUAAUACGUAGGUGGCAAGCGUUGUCCGGAUUUAUUGGGCGUAAAGCGAGUGCAGGCGGUUCAAUAAGUCUGAUGUGAAAGCCUUCGGCUCAACCGGAGAAUUGCAUCAGAAACUGUUGAACUUGAGUGCAGAAGAGGAGAGUGGAACUCCAUGUGUAGCGGUGGAAUGCGUAGAUAUAUGGAAGAACACCAGUGGCGAAGGCGGCUCUCUGGUCUGCAACUGACGCUGAGGCUCGAAAGCAUGGGUAGCGAACAGGAUUAGAUACCCUGGUAGUCCAUGCCGUAAACGAUGAGUGCUAAGUGUUGGGAGGUUUCCGCCUCUCAGUGCUGCAGCUAACGCAUUAAGCACUCCGUCUGGGGAGUACGACCGCAAGGUUGAAACUCAAAGGAAUUGACGGGGGCCCGCACAAGCGGUGGAGCAUGUGGUUUAAUUCGAAGCAACGCGAAGAACCUUACCAGGUCUU
RNAcentral lists this ribosomal RNA (910 nucleotides) under Lactobacillus johnsonii. RNAcentral's name for it is "bacterial SSU rRNA". It matches the Rfam family "Bacterial small subunit ribosomal RNA", at positions 86 to 982 of the family's 1533-position model. Lineage: Bacteria; Bacillati; Bacillota; Bacilli; Lactobacillales; Lactobacillaceae. The record is from RNAcentral.